AGAGUUUGAUCAUGGCUCAGAACGAACGCUGGCGGCAGGCCUAACACAUGCAAGUCGAACGUGAAGCCACCUUCGGGUGGUGGAAAGUGGCAGACGGGUGAGUAACGCGUGGGAACGUGCCCAAAGGUGCGGAACAACUCCGGGAAACUGGAGCUAAUACCGUAUGUGCCCGUAAGGGGAAAGAUUUAUCGCCUUUGGAUCGGCCCGCGUCGGAUUAGCUAGUUGGUAGGGUAAUGGCCUACCAAGGCGACGAUCCGUAGCUGGUCUGAGAGGAUGAUCAGCCACACUGGGACUGAGACACGGCCCAGACUCCUACGGGAGGCAGCAGUGGGGAAUAUUGCACAAUGGGCGCAAGCCUGAUCCAGCCAUGCCGCGUGAGUGAUGAAGGCCCUAGGGUUGUAAAGCUCUUUCGCACGCGACGAUAAUGACGGUAGCGUGAGAAGAAGCCCCGGCUAACUUCGUGCCAGCAGCCGCGGUAAUACGAAGGGGGCUAGCGUUGCUCGGAAUCACUGGGCGUAAAGGGCGCGUAGGCGGCCGGCCAAGUCGGGGGUGAAAGCCUGUGGCUCAACCACAGAAUGGCCCUCGAUACUGGACGGCUCGAGACCGGAAGAGGUUGGUGGAAUUGCGAGUGUAGAGGUGAAAUUCGUAGAUAUUCGCAAGAACACCGGUGGCGAAGGCGGCCAACUGGUCCGGAUCUGACGCUGA
Molecule: ribosomal RNA, 705 nt
Filed under: uncultured bacterium
Lineage: Bacteria
Description: bacterial SSU rRNA
Rfam family: Bacterial small subunit ribosomal RNA
Source: RNAcentral